AAAGGGAGACCAACUGGCACAGCACAUGGAUAAAGUAUAGUGUGUUGUAGCUGGACAUCCCUGGUCGUACAAGGGAACAUCAAAAGUCAAAGUUAACUUUCAAACUAGAGUCUGGUUCGGUUCAUGGGCUAUUAGCUCAGGUGGUUAGAGCGCACCCCUGAUAAGGGUGAGGUCCCUGGUUCAAGUCCAGGAUGGCCCACCUAACCGAACAAGGGGGUAUAGCUCAGUUGGUAGAGCGCUGCCUUUGCAAGGCAGAAGUCAGCGGUUCGAGUCCGCUUACCUCCAGGCCAGGAAAAGUUUAGAACUCAGCAACUAGACCUGAAUGAUUCAAGUCAUGCUGCUGGGCUACUAACGUCCAGCCAGAACCUUGAAAACUGCAUAGUCAAUCAGUCAAAGUAACUCAAACAGAGGUUAGUCAAGAGCUAACCAUUCCAUGAGGUGCAGAAAGU
Molecule: transfer RNA, 449 nt
Filed under: Tenebriella sp. Fkv-3
Lineage: Bacteria; Bacillati; Cyanobacteriota; Cyanophyceae; Oscillatoriales; Microcoleaceae
Description: Oscillatoria cf. curviceps Fkv-3 partial 16S-23S ribosomal RNA intergenic spacer
Rfam family: tRNA (bases 213-285)
Source: RNAcentral